RNAcentral lists this long non-coding RNA (408 nucleotides) under Salvia miltiorrhiza (redroot sage). RNAcentral's name for it is "long non-coding RNA (SMIL_LNC004464)". The record is from RNAcentral. Lineage: Eukaryota; Viridiplantae; Streptophyta; Magnoliopsida; Lamiales; Lamiaceae.
UCCGCAGAUGUAGUUUACGGGUUCGGGCUGCGGAUCCAUAGUGGAUUGAACGGAAAUGUGGAUUUAGGUUUUGAAGUCGUCGCGCGCUGAGGCAGAGAAUGAGAGGUGGUGGGGUUCCGAUCUGAGAAGAGAGUCGAGAGAGAGAGACUCGAGGGAGAUGGCAAGGCACGGCGGCUUUGCCGCUACCUUUCAGCCACGGUGAGAGAGAGAUGGACGGAGGCGGUGAUUCUCUAUUUUGAACCGAGAGAAGGGAGAACCGAGAGGUAAUGGUUGCCGCCGCUUGCUCCGGCGAGCUCCAGCGGCCGUGAGUUCGAGCAGUCGAGAGAGACAGUCGAGAGUUGAGGGAGAGUGAGAGAAACUGAUGUGGAGGUGUGUAUGCGUGUGUGUGCGGCUGAUAGGGGGGAGAAG